This 669-nucleotide ribosomal RNA is filed under the name Abyssaster tara. RNAcentral's name for it is "partial 16S ribosomal RNA". It matches the Rfam family "Bacterial large subunit ribosomal RNA", at positions 1793 to 2646 of the family's 2925-position model. The record is from RNAcentral. Lineage: Eukaryota; Metazoa; Echinodermata; Asteroidea; Paxillosida; Porcellanasteridae.
GUUUCGCCCUGUUUACCAAAAACAUCGCUCCUUGGAAAGGUUUUCUAAUAUAUAAGGAGUUCUGCCUGCCCAGUGACAUAGUUAAACGGCCGCGGUAUUUUGACCGUGCAAAGGUAGCAUAAUCAUUUGCCUUUUAAAUGGAGGCUGGUAUGAAUGGCAAGACGGAAAUUUAGCUGUCUCUCUUUUAGAGCUUUGAAAUUAAUAUUUUUGUGAAGAAGCAAAAAUAAGGUCGCAGGACGAGAAGACCCUAUCGAGCUUAAGUAGUGUGAUAUAGGUUUAGAGUAUACUUUUAGUAUUAAUUAUCCUUAUUUAGAGGAAGUGUUUUUAUUAAAAAGGUGUAGAAUUUUAUAUCUUUUAUUUAGAUUGGGGCAAUCGCGGAAAAUAUAGAACUUCCGUUGUAGAGUGACUAGGAAAGUGACACCUUUAAAGCAUAUUUAGUGAUGUUGAAGUGAUCCAUUUUUUAGAAGAGUGAGUAAAGGAAUAAGUUACCGUAGGGAUAACAGCGUAAUUUUUUUGGAGAGUUCAUAUUGAUAAAAAAGUUUGCGACCUCGAUGUUGGAUCGGGACUUCCAGGGGAUGCAGCAGUUCCCAAGGGUUGGUCUGUUCGACCAUUAAAGUCCUACGUGAUCUGAGUUCAGACCGGUGAAAGCCAGGUCAGUUUCUAUCUACG